UACGGAGGGUGCAAGCGUUAUCCGGAUUUACUGGGUUUAAAGGGUGCGUAGGUGGGCAAGUAAGUCAGUGGUGAAAUCUCCGGGCUUAACCCGGAAACUGCCAUUGAUACUAUUUGUCUUGAAUACUGUGGAGGUCAGCGGAAUAUGUCAUGUAGCGGUGAAAUGCGUAGAUAUCGAGAGGAACACCUGCGGCGAAGGCGGGUUGCUGGGCUGACACUGACGCUGAUGCGCGAAAGCUAGGGGAGCGAACGGG
Molecule: ribosomal RNA, 253 nt
Filed under: uncultured bacterium
Lineage: Bacteria
Description: partial 16S ribosomal RNA
Rfam family: Bacterial small subunit ribosomal RNA
Source: RNAcentral